UGGCGGACGGGUGAGUAACGCGUGGGUAACCUGCCUUGUACUGGGGGACAACAGUUGGAAACGACUGCUAAUACCGCAUAAGCGCACAGCUUCGCAUGAAGCAGUGUGAAAAACUCCGGUGGUAUAAGAUGGACCCGCGUUGGAUUAGCUAGUUGGUGAGGUAACGGCCCACCAAGGCGACGAUCCAUAGCCGACCUGAGAGGGUGACCGGCCACAUUGGGACUGAGACACGGCCCAA
This 238-nucleotide ribosomal RNA is filed under the name uncultured bacterium. RNAcentral's name for it is "partial 16S ribosomal RNA". It matches the Rfam family "Bacterial small subunit ribosomal RNA", at positions 96 to 334 of the family's 1533-position model. The record is from RNAcentral.